GGAGAACUAUAGUGGCCGAAGAGUUGCAAACCAUUGGUAUUGGUAUGAAAUUGGAAGCUAGGAAUUUUUUUGGGGGGAGUUCAAAUUGGGAGCCCGAUUGGGUUGGGAGGGAAGUUUUUAGGGGUAAAAAUUUUAGGAGGAAAACUAUUUUCUAAUUUCUAAACUUUUAAUAUAUAAAGUUAUAAAUAGGUUGGGAAGGAUGUUUUCAGGGGUAAAAAUUUUAGGUGGAAAACUAUUUUGUAAUUUAUAAACUUUUAAUAUAUAAAGUUAUAAAAAUUAAAUUGAAAUUAUACAACUUUUUUUUAAAUAUAUAAAUUACAUGUUGAGCAUAGAAAGUAAAUUGCCCAUUAUGAUUAGGGUGUAAACGAGUCAAGCGGUUUGGGAACCGUCGAGAUCAGUUUGAGAAAAAAGCUCAAAACGAGUUACAUCUUAUUGAGACUGAGCCGAGCUUGAGCCUAAAAUAAAGCUCGGUUAUUUAUUGAGCCCAAGCUCGAGCCUAGCAUGUGAAGCUUGUUAAGCCUUAUCAAGCCUUAAUGUAAUAUUAAAUAGCAUUUACCCCUUAUUUAAAGUUGUCUAGUAAACGAGUCGAGCCAAACUUAUUUAAAAUUGCUUUCGAGCCAAGCCUAGACCUAAAAACAAACUUCCUUAGUAAACGAACCCGAGCUUCACUAAUCGAGCUCGCAAUCCUAAACGAGUCUAUUAUUUUAUACCAUUCUUUAUCUAAUAUAUUAAUUAUUAGAUAAUAAACGAGCCCGAGCUUCACUUUUCAAGCUCGCAAGACUAAACGAGUCUAUUAUUUUAUAUUAUUAUUUAUCUAAUAUACUAAUUAUUUGAUGAUAAACGAGCAGAGUCCAUCGUGAUCCAUUAAGGCCCAAUACGGUUCAUUAAGACAUCUAUGAUCCACUAUUGUCCAUUGUGAUCCAUUAAGGCCCAAUAUAGUCCAUUAAGACACGUAAGAUCUACCAUUGUCCAUUAUGAUUCGUGAAGGCCCAAUAUAGUACAUUAAGAAAUGCAUGAUCCACCAUUGUUCAUUGUUAUUCAUUAAGGACCAAUGUGGUCCAUUAAGACAUGUAUGAUCUACCAUUGUCUAUCGUGAUCCAUUAAGGCCCAUUGUGGUCUAUUAAGAUAUGUAUGAUCUAUUAUAUUCCAUCAUAUGAUCUAUUAAAACUCAUUAUGGUUCAUUAAGACAUCUAUUAUCUACCAUUGUACAUUGUGAUCUAGUAGGUCAAAUACGGUCUAUUAAGAAAUGUAUGAUCUACCACUGUCCAUCGUGUUCCAUUAAGGCAUAAUAUGGUCCAUCAAGACAUUUAUGAACUACAAUUACUCAUUGUGAUCUAUUAAGGCCCAAUAUGAUCCAUUAAGAAAUGUAUGAUCUAUUAUUGUGUCAUUUUGAUCCAUUAAGACCCAAUAUGGUCCAUUAAGACAUAUGUGAUCUACUAUUGGCCAUUGUGAUCCAUUAAGACAUAUAAUUCACCUACUAUUGCCCGUUGUGAUCCAUUAAGUCCCAAUAUGGUCCAUUAAGGCCCAAUAUGGUCCAUUAAGGCCCAAUAUGGUCUAUUAAGACAUAUAUAACCUACUAUUGCCCGUUUGUGAUCAACUAAGGUUCAGUACGUUCCAUUAAGAAAUCUUAUUCACCUACUAUUGCGCGUUAUGAUUAAUUAAGGCCCAAUAUGGUCCAGUAAUACAUAUAGUACCUACUAUUGCCCGUUGUGAUCCAUUAAGGCCCAAUAUGGUCCAUUAAUGCAUUUGUGAUCUAUUAAGGCCCAAUAUUGUUCAUUAGGACAUAUAUGCCAUACUAUUGCCCAUUUUGAUACAUUAAGGCCCUAUAUGGCCGAUUAAGACAUAUGAAUUUUAUAGUAAGAUUUUUGUAUAUUUUUUUAAAUAGUGUAUUUUGAGAUAUGCUUGAGAUCAGCUCGAGAAAAAUCUCAAAACAAGCCGAGUCUUAUCGAGCCCUAAUUGACAUCAUUGGACUCAAAAACCCUAAUUGACCAUCAUUGGGCCUACAUGAUCAUCAUUGGGUCUAUUUGACCACCAUUGGGCUUAAUUGGCCAUCACUGAGCCUCAACAACCCUAAUUGACCUUCAUUGAACCUAGUUGACCAUCGUGGGUUCUAAUUGAUCAUCAUUGGGCCAAAUUGACAAUCAUUGAACUCAACAAACCUAUCUGACCUUCAUUGGGCAUAAUUGACCUUUUUGAACCCAAUUAACCAUCAUUGGGCCUAAAUCUCUAUCAUUGGUUCUAAUUGACCAUCAUUGGACCUAAUAGACUUGAGCCUCAUUAGCCCUAAUUGUUUCAGUAAGCCUAGUUGACCAACAUUAAGCCUUAUUAACCCCAAUUGGCUUUCACUAGGCCUAGUUGACUAUCAGUAGGCCUAAUUGACCAUCAUUAAGCCUCAUCAACGAAAAUUGACAUUCAUUAAGCCUAGUUGGCCAUCAACCAAUCUAAAUUAUUUUUUUACCAAAUAAAUAUGAUUUUUGGUUUUGGUUUAUUGAGUUUUCUAUAAAUAAUGAAAAAAUUUAUUUGAUUUUAAAUUACUUUAUAAUAUAAAAGUUAUUAAAAAUUUAUAUUAUUUACAUUUCUCGAACAUAUUUAAUAAAAUGCAUAAAUGCAUGAUUGAAGAGUUGUAUUAGAAGAUUAAAAAACAAUUUUUAGUAAAAAAUUUAAAGAUGAAGAUUAUAAGUUAUUAGACAAAAUCUAUAGUUAAUC
Molecule: long non-coding RNA, 2706 nt
Filed under: Helianthus annuus (common sunflower)
Lineage: Eukaryota; Viridiplantae; Streptophyta; Magnoliopsida; Asterales; Asteraceae
Description: hypothetical non coding rna
Source: RNAcentral